CUUGUUGGUGGGGUGAUGGCCUACCAAGGCGACGACGGGUAGCCGGCCUGAGAGGGCGACCGGCCACACUGGGACUGAGACACGGCCCAGACUCCUACGGGAGGCAGCAGUGGGGAAUCUUGCGCAAUGGGCGAAAGCCUGACGCAGCGACGCCGCGUGAGGGAUGACGGCCUUCGGGUUGUAAACCUCUUUCAGCCCUGACGAAGCGAAAGUGACGGUAGGGGCAGAAGAAGCACCGGCCAACUACGUGCCAACAGCCGCGGUAAUACGUAGGGUGCAAGCGUUGUCCGGAAUUAUUGGGCGUAAAGAGCUCGUAGGUGGCCUGUCGCGUCGGCUGUGAAAACUCGGGGCUCAACUCCGAGCUUGCAGUCGAUACGGGCAGGCUAGAGUGCGGCAGGGGAGACUGGAAUUCCUGGUGUAGCGGUGAAAUGCGCAGAUAUCAGGAGGAACACCGGUGGCGAAGGCGGGUCUCUGGGCCGAUACUGACACUGAGGAGCGAAAGCGUGGGGAGCGAACAGGAUUAGAUACCCUGGUAGUCCACGCCGUAAACGUUGGGCGCUAGGUGUGGGAUCCCUUCCACGGGUUCCGUGCCGCAGCUAACGCAUUAAGCGCCCCGCCUGGGGAGUACGG
This 630-nucleotide ribosomal RNA is filed under the name uncultured bacterium. RNAcentral describes it as "bacterial SSU rRNA". It matches the Rfam family "Bacterial small subunit ribosomal RNA", at positions 245 to 885 of the family's 1533-position model. The record is from RNAcentral.